This is a long non-coding RNA of Lycium barbarum (goji berry), 1261 nucleotides long. RefSeq lists it as uncharacterized. The transcript is spliced from 2 exons. The record is from RefSeq and is a predicted model, not a curated record. NCBI's taxonomy places the organism in Eukaryota, Viridiplantae, Streptophyta, Magnoliopsida, Solanales, Solanaceae.
UACAGUACCUCUCGCUCUUGUUUGCUAGAAUUUCAAUAUCUAGAUUACUAGACUGGAAUAAAAUUUUGUAAAACUGUUUUUGUGGUUGGUUGUGUAAUCGUAUUUGCUGAUCUAGGCCCUAGAAAUAUCAUGUUACUAACAAAGUAGUGGUCGUUUAGAUGGGCACACCUAUAGAAAUUUCAGAUAUUGUUACCGCGCAAGGAUAUAAAUAAUAUGGUACUAUAAUUAAAAGGCCGAAAAAUCUAAUACACAGCUCUACUUGUACCGAUUUGACAUCCCGCCACCUCGACUCCACGGAGUUUCAUUCAAACACCUAUAGUUGUUGAAACACACUAAUUUAAGCCCUUCUGAGCGUUGAUUGAGCAUAUGUGGCAACUUCACGGGUGAGUAGGAUAAAAUGCAUAUAUUGCACGCGUGUAAUGUGCGUGAACCAAACUUAGAAAUAGGAAAUGAAUAAAAUGAGUACCAAAAAAGGACAAAAAUAAAAAUGCAAAACCUUUACUUCCUCCCCUUCCUCAAUCGGCUUCCACAACCAACAGCAACCAAAGUGGUGAGGGCAAAGCUAAAGAACCAAACUCUACAAUAACGUUCAAAUCUAAAAGCAUAAACGCUGCAACAAACAAUGUCUUAUGAGAUUUGAUUAGAACUCAAUUCUUAACUAAAACACGAGAAGAAAAUCCAUACCUAGAUACAGAAAUCGUACAAAAACAAAGACUAACGAGAAAUAAUGAAGAAAUUUUGCCUAGAGUCGAAAUGUCAUAACCCAAGGAAGCCACAAAAAAAGAUAGGAAAGAAUAAUCCACAGCUAAAACACCAAAACCCAUAAAUAAGUGCAUUAUUGUUUUGAUUUUAUCCCAUGUAGAACAAAGCCACAAGCAAAAUCUUUUCUUUUAAUGUUUGUGGAUAUCUCUCAGUGGUGUAGUGGGUAGAAGAGGGAGAGAUGGGAACGGGCCGAAAGAGGAGACAGGGAGGGUGCGCAAGACACGGGGUCAGAGGUGUUUAAAAGACUAUUUUGAUUGAGUUCAGGUGUUUGGAUGAAACCUUGUGAACUUAAGAGGACGGAUGUCAAAAUGCACUGAUACACGUGUCUAUUAGGCUAUUCUAUCUAAAUAAAAUCCUGGAAAUAUCUUCUGUUGGUUUGUGAAUUAGGAUCUCACUCUGUUGAUGCGAGGGACACAUUCUUUAAUGCCUUGCGCUAGUGUUGUUAAAAUUGGAUUAAAUAUUUACGACAAAUGUUUGUGAAGGUUGUAAGAAGCAGUUA